Molecule: transfer RNA, 81 nt
Filed under: Cubamyces lactineus
Lineage: Eukaryota; Fungi; Basidiomycota; Agaricomycetes; Polyporales; Polyporaceae
Also listed under: 1 other name
Description: Leiotrametes lactinea tRNA-Gln
Rfam family: tRNA
About the family: Transfer RNA (tRNA) molecules are approximately 80 nucleotides in length. Their secondary structure includes four short double-helical elements and three loops (D, anti-codon, and T loops).
Source: RNAcentral
GGCGCUAUAGUGUAGUGGUUAUCACUUGGGAUUCUGAUUCUCAGUGUUCCCAAAACCCAGGUUCGAGCCCUGGUAGCGCCU